RNAcentral lists this ribosomal RNA (253 nucleotides) under uncultured bacterium. RNAcentral's name for it is "partial 16S ribosomal RNA". It matches the Rfam family "Bacterial small subunit ribosomal RNA", at positions 524 to 776 of the family's 1533-position model. The record is from RNAcentral.
UACGUAGGGUCCGAGCGUUGUCCGGAAUUAUUGGGCGUAAAGGGCUCGUAGGCGGUUUGUCGCGUCGGGAGUGAAAACCAUGGGCUCAACUCAUGGCUUGCUUCCGAUACGGGCAGACUAGAGGUAUGCAGGGGAGACUGGAAUUCCUGGUGUAGCGGUGAAAUGCGCAGAUAUCAGGAGGAACACCGGUGGCGAAGGCGGGUCUCUGGGCAACAACUGACGCUGAGGAGCGAAAGCGUGGGGAGCGAACAGG